Molecule: RNase P RNA, 346 nt
Filed under: bovine gut metagenome
Description: Bacterial RNase P class B
Rfam family: Bacterial RNase P class B
About the family: Ribonuclease P (RNase P) is a ubiquitous endoribonuclease, found in archaea, bacteria and eukarya as well as chloroplasts and mitochondria. Its best characterised activity is the generation of mature 5'-ends of tRNAs by cleaving the 5'-leader elements of precursor-tRNAs. Cellular RNase Ps are ribonucleoproteins.
Source: RNAcentral
UCUGGGUAAACGCUGCAUAAAAAUUUAUGUAGAGGAAAGUCCAUGCUUGCACUAUCUGUGAUGAUAGUAGUGUUUGUGCUUAGGGAAAAAAUAACCUAAGGAAGUCUUAUGACUUACGGCUUUGAUUUCAUCCUAAAGUUUAUACCAUGGAUAAAUCAGUGUAAAAGUGCCACAGUGACGAAUCCUUAUAGAAAUAUAGGGAGUGAAACGAGGUAAACCCCACAAGUAAGAAACUCAAAUUAUGGUAGAGGAACUAUUCUUUGAAGAAUUAAGAAUUUAAGGAAUGGAUAGGGAAACCUAUAGAUAAAUGUUUACCGCCUAUUAAGGUACAGAACAUGGCUUAUAA